RNAcentral lists this long non-coding RNA (225 nucleotides) under Setaria italica (foxtail millet). RNAcentral describes it as "long non-coding RNA (SITA_LNC002961)". The record is from RNAcentral. Lineage: Eukaryota; Viridiplantae; Streptophyta; Magnoliopsida; Poales; Poaceae.
GAAGAGAGGUGGGUCGUCAGAAAAAAGCAGAGAAGCGUAAAGAUUACAUGCUAGUACUAGUCUUACGGCAUGACAUCGACAGUAAUCGUCUGUUCGGCUGUUCCAUCAAUGCAGCUCCCAGCUGGGAUCGGACAAUUUCAUCAGCGUAUGGAGUAGAGAGAGGUGAGACACUUGGACUGGCUCGUCUGCAUCCUUGAAACACAACGAAAUGACGCCCAAUGGGGG